GUCUACAGCCAUGCCACCCUGAACAAGCCCGAUCCCACAUGAUCUUGGAAACUUAAGCAGGGUCGGGCCUGGUUAGUACUUGGAUGGGAGACCACCUACGAAGACUAGGUGCUGUAGGAG
Molecule: ribosomal RNA, 120 nt
Filed under: Pteropus alecto (black flying fox)
Lineage: Eukaryota; Metazoa; Chordata; Mammalia; Chiroptera; Pteropodidae
Source: RNAcentral